Molecule: transfer RNA, 72 nt
Filed under: Catellatospora sp. TT07R-123
Lineage: Bacteria; Bacillati; Actinomycetota; Actinomycetes; Micromonosporales; Micromonosporaceae
Description: tRNA-Glu
Rfam family: tRNA
About the family: Transfer RNA (tRNA) molecules are approximately 80 nucleotides in length. Their secondary structure includes four short double-helical elements and three loops (D, anti-codon, and T loops).
Source: RNAcentral
GGACGAUUCGGCUAUGGGUAGGCCCCCGGGUUCUCAGCCCGGAAAAGCGGGUUCGAGUCCCGCAUCGGCUAC